Camelus ferus (Wild Bactrian camel) is the source of this 73-nucleotide transfer RNA. It matches the Rfam family "tRNA". From Rfam's summary of the family: Transfer RNA (tRNA) molecules are approximately 80 nucleotides in length. Their secondary structure includes four short double-helical elements and three loops (D, anti-codon, and T loops). Lineage: Eukaryota; Metazoa; Chordata; Mammalia; Artiodactyla; Camelidae. The record is from Rfam.
GAGGGUAUAGCUCAAGUAGCAGUGUGUAUGCUUAGCAUGCACUAGGUCCUGGGUUCAAUCCCCAGUACCUCCU